CAAUAGCGUAUAUUAACGUUGUUGCAGUUAAAAAGCUCGUAGUUGGAUUUCUGGAGGGAGCGUCGGCCCGUAUUUACGAGUGCGUGACGUCUCUGUCCAUCCUUGCGGGAAGGCACGGCAUUGAUUUGUUGUGUCGGAUCGCAUCAUUUACUGUGAAAAAAUUAGAGUGUUCAAAGCAGGCUUUCGCUUGAAUACAUUAGCAUGGAAUAAUAAGAUAGGACUGUGGUGUUAUUUUGUUGGUUGAGCCUAAAGUAAUGAUUAAUAGGGAUAGUUGGGGGCACCUGUAUUGCGUUGUCAGAGGUGAAAUUCUUGGAUUUACGCAAGACAAACAGCUGCGAAAGCGUCUGCCAAGGAUGUUUUCAUUAA
RNAcentral lists this ribosomal RNA (366 nucleotides) under uncultured eukaryote. RNAcentral describes it as "partial 18S ribosomal RNA". It matches the Rfam family "Eukaryotic small subunit ribosomal RNA", at positions 592 to 976 of the family's 1831-position model. The record is from RNAcentral.